Alligator sinensis (Chinese alligator) is the source of this 1950-nucleotide long non-coding RNA. RefSeq lists it as uncharacterized. The transcript has 3 exons. NCBI's taxonomy places the organism in Eukaryota, Metazoa, Chordata, Crocodylia, Alligatoridae. The record is from RefSeq and is a predicted model, not a curated record.
CUUCAAGCCCAAGCUCACUCCAGCAGGGGCCAGCAGAGCCCAGGGGAGCGAGCCACCUAGUCCCCGGGCUGCUCCUGCGGCCCAAGCAGGGAGAGGCCGGAUCCGGCGCGCCUGGGUGUGGCGCCGGACUUCGCUCCCUGCCCCGCCGGGACCGGGCGGGGAGAGGGCGCCCCCCUACCUGCUGCGCGGCGCCGCCGGAGUAAGGCUCGGGGUGUCCCGGAGAGCCCGUGCUGCCCCGCGAGGACGUGUCGAAGCUCCCGGGAUAGUCCUGGAACUGGCCUUAGAACCACUCAUUUUUGGUGCCUGAAUCUGUGAUGGCAACUUCAGGAUACUACAAAGCUGCCUGGAUGUAGCAGGAACCACGCUGGGAGGGUUUGAAGACUGGUGGAACUCAACUAAGACACGGUUCGAUGGCAGCUUUAUUGUGGCUGAGCUUUCUUCCUUUUUGCUGCCCAGUCUGACUGGAAUCGCUCCCCUUUUACAACUGUGUGACUUUGCUGAAAAGCAACUCCGCCACUUCUGUAGAGAAGCAGCUUGUACAAAUGACGGUCGUGGUUACGGGAUGUGUGGUUUACCACAAGACGUCAUAUCUCCUCCCCCAAAGAAAUCAGAAGGGUUAUUGCUCAAAUUCGGCUUUAACUGUAUAAAGGAAAAAAGCCCUGUGACUUUCACUACUAGUUUUAAUGUUCUAAGAAACCCUCGCACCCAUUCCUGCGCCUGCUCUAAAAGCUGCUUGGCUGAGGCUUCGCUGGAAGCAUGCGCGCACAAACUCGUAUGAAACGUUGCGAGUCUGUCUCCGUGUCCUUAGUUUUCCCUUCGUUCCUACCCAGACAAAAUGGCCGCUGACUUCAGUGAAGAUUUUUCCUGCGUAAAGACUAGAUACAAACCGAUUCAGAGGAUCUAGGAUCACAUUUCUGCUUCAGCCCUUCCCCUUUUGGUCACUGGUGGGGGACAAAGGGAGUGGGAUAUGGCCUACUCCUGCUAACAGUGAUCUGCCUGUGGAUGCUCAGUGAAAAGAUGGUCCCCUGCAAACUGCUGCUAGCUGGCACAGGUUAGAGUAGCUUGAGAGCCUGUUUCCGUCAGCACUUGAGCUGGGCGCAGCACUAAAGGGCUUGGCAGCCCAUGCUUUGCCCUGCUUAGGCUAAACUCAGUUCAGCAAUGACACUGGCCUCAGGACUACUUGAUGUAAAAUCAGACCCUGUGGUCUGACUACUGCAGUGUCAGAGAGGGAGAAAAUGAAACCGGCCAACCAAAUCCUGCUGUUUGGGCCAAGCAAAAGACUGAAAGUAAACAAAUGGCAUCACCAGCAGGCACUCUGCUUGUCUGGGCCCUUUUUUGUUCGUUACUUUGAUGCAUAUAUUGCUGGGACGGCACCGGAUUGAUGUACCACUGUUCUCACUACUGCACACCACCACUGACCUGGAAACCACCUGAAUGCCUGUGACGGGAGCACUGUCUCUUUGGCCCAUCUGAGCUUUGGCCUCUCUAGCGAGAUUGCUGGGAAGGGCAUCAGCUCCUUUUUCAGAGGCCAUUGAGCAUCUGAUAACAGCUUCCAGUCUUCACAGACUUAAAUUAGAGAUGAAGCAGUGUUUGUGAAAUGUCUUCCAGACUAAUAGUUUAAAGUGUUAUUCCUAUCACAAGUAAAGGUUAUUUCUACUUCGAUAGAGUCCUUUUGACUUUAGAUAGAGUCCUUUGACGCUUGAAUAGAGCAUUAAUAUGUUUCCAACCAUACCUCCAGAAAGCUUCUUGCUUUUCUUUAGUGUCUAUGAGAUAAUAACCAAAGACACAUUACGAGAGGCUUCUAUGCUUGGCUUGUGUUCAGUCCUAAGUAUUGGAAGUAAUCCCCAGAGCUAAAUGUGAACAACUUGAAUUCAUGAGCAAAUUUUCUUUACUGGAACAUUCAGCCCUGGCUUUAGACAUGGUCACAACACUACAGGCUCACUGAGGAGG